CGCGGUGCAUACUGGGAAGCCCAGGGCUUGGAGGCGGCGGCAGGAGGGAGCGGGGCGGCCAUUUUGUCUUCCUCCGAGAGGCCGCUGGAAGGCCUGCGGCUGGUGCCUGCUUCUCGCCUUUCUCUAGUUGGGUAGCGCCGCCGCGAUGGGCCGGAAGAAGAAGAAGCAGCUGAAGCCCUGGUGCUGGUAUUGCAACAGGGAUUUUGAUGAUGAGAAAAUCCUUAUACAGCAUCAAAAAGCAAAGCACUUUAAAUGCCAUAUAUGUCAUAAGAAACUGUAUACAGGACCUGGUUUAGCUAUACAUUGUAUGCAGGUGCAUAAAGAAACAAUAGAUGCUGUUCCAAAUGCUAUUCCUGGGAGAACGGACAUUGAACUGGAAAUCUAUGGUAUGGAGGGCAUUCCAGAAAAAGACAUGGAUGAAAGGAGAAGGUUACUUGAACAAAAAACUCAGGCAGAGAGCCAGAAGAAGAAACAACAAGAUGAUUCUGAUGAGUAUGAUGAUGAUGAAUCUACAGCUUCAACCUCAUUUCAGCCACAACCAGUACAACCACAACAGGGAUACAUGCCCCCGAUGGCACAACCAGGAUUGCCUCCUGUGCCAGGUGCUCCAGGAAUACCCCCAGGUAUACCACCCUUGAUGGCAGGUGUUCCACCAAUGAUGCCAGGAAUGCCUCCAGUUAUGCCAGGAAUGCCACCUGGAUUACAUCAACAGAGAAAGUACAUGCAGUCAUUUUGCGGUGAAAACAUGAUGAUGCCAAUGGGUGGGAUGAUGCCUCCUGGGCCAGGAAUACCACCUCUUAUGCCUGGUAUGCCACCAGGUAGGUCAGUGAUGUCGAACUCAUACUGUGGUAUGCCACCACCUGUUGGUCCUCGUCCUGGUAUGCCUCCCAUGACACAAGCACAGCCUGUGACAGCACCAGGCAUUCUUAAUAGACCUCCAGCUCCUGCUGUAGCAGCACCCUCCCCACAGCCUCCAGUUACAAAACCACUUUUCCCCAGUGCAGGACAGAUGGGGCCACCUGUCACAAGUUCAAGUACAGCUUCAUCCAAUUCAGAAAAUCUGUCAGCAUCUUCUAAAGCUCUGUUUCCUAGCACAGCACAAGCUCAGGCAGCUGUUCCAGGACCAGUGGGUACUGAUUUCAAACCUUUGAAUAAUACACCUGCAACAACCACAGAGCCCCCCAAACCUACAUUCCCUGCUUAUACACAGUCUACAGCUUCAACCACUAGCACAACAAACAGUACUGCAGCUAAACCAGCUACAUCUAUAACAAGUAAGCCUGCUACCCUUACAACAACCAGUGCAACCAGUAAGUUGAUCCAUCCAGAUGAGGAUAUAUCACUGGAAGAGAGAAGGGCACAGUUGCCCAAAUAUCAACGUAAUCUUCCUAGACAAGGACAGGUAUCCAUGGGCAAUCCAUCAGUUGGAUCGCUUGGAGGUAUGAUGCCACCACAACCUGGAAUUCCUCCACAGCAGCAGGGAAUGAGACCUCCUAUGCCUCCUCAUGGUCAGUAUGGUGCUCAUCACCAAGGCAUGCCAGGUUACCUUCCUGGAGGGAUGCCUCCAUAUGGUCAGGGACCUCCAAUGGUGCCCCCUUAUCAAGGUGGACCUCCUCGACCUCCAAUGGGAAUGAGACCUCCUGUAAUGUCGCAAGGUGGCCGCUACUGAUGCUACUACACACAGUCUAAUAGGUUUUUAGAAGUGAAGUAUAGUAAAUAUGGUUCGUUAAAUUGUGAAGGCGCUGGAAUUACAUGAACAUACCAUCUUAAAGCAGCAGAAUUUCAGCAUUUGCUACUUACUGGUAGAGAAGAAAAAUCCCACAGCACUGCCAGUACAGGUUAGUUUAAUCUGUAAGUACCUGAUGUUCCUGUUUGAAAUACUGUGUUCAAAUACCAUUUAAAUACAUGAGGAGAGAGUCUUUUGAUCACCUAAAUGUAAAUACGUCUUUGUUGUGUAGGAUGUAUGUUGCUGUCUUCAGUAGUGAGUAAAUUUGUAGAAUUUAACCGUUAAAAAAAAAUAAAAUGAUUCUAACUACGCCUAGGGGUACUAUACUUUUACAAGCACCUGAUUAACAGAAAUGGGGAUUAAAAGUUUUGAUAGCCAUUUUGGCAGUAUUGAGAAGCUUAAUGGACACAUGGAUGUGGAUUCAACGGUCACUUCUUCAGUAAUUCACUUACUACCGAGAGAGGUCAUUUUACCAGAGUGAAUUGAUGAUGCAGGAUUUUGAUAUUCACUUGUAUUGGGGAUUGGGUGUUCAUGUCCCUAAUACUGUAGCAGUAACUUAACCUUGACUUAAAUUUUCUGUUUACAGAUAAUAUGCAAUAUCACCUGACUUAGUACCCCCACUCUCAUAUAUUUGCUGUAGUAGGCCCUGUGCAUGGGAUUGGACUCUGAAAUCCAUUUUAGCCCCUUUCUACACUUCAAAGAGCUCCUACAAAUGUUUUCCUCAGAGACUUUAGUUUACCCCAUAUUUCUUGCCUUUCCCUCAUAUUUCUCUUUACUUUCUCCUUUCACCCCUCCAGUAUUGCUUAGUGUGCUUUAUCUGCUUAAAUUUGAAGCAGGUGACUUAAUUGUUUGGUUGUGCAGUGUCCUGAGCAUCUUGAGUACUUGGAAUGAAAUUAACUUCAGAAGAUAAAAUUUUGUAUGUGUACAUAAAUAUACUGUGACCGUUUUUAGGUACUCU
Molecule: RNA transcript, 2684 nt
Organism: Dermochelys coriacea (leatherback sea turtle)
Lineage: Eukaryota; Metazoa; Chordata; Testudines; Dermochelyidae
Gene: ZNF207
Gene name: zinc finger protein 207
Exons: 14
Source: RefSeq, a predicted model, not a curated record